UGUGUAAAAGUCAAAAAGAGAGACAAAUUAUUGUUAAUAAUUCAAAUGGAAGUUAAUCCUUACACAA
This 67-nucleotide transfer RNA is filed under the name Cacopsylla fuscicella. RNAcentral describes it as "tRNA-Asn". The record is from RNAcentral. Lineage: Eukaryota; Metazoa; Arthropoda; Insecta; Hemiptera; Psyllidae.